GAGGGUGUAGCUUAAUGGUAGAGUGCGUGCCUAGCAUGCGCGAGGUCCUGGCUUCAAUCCUCGGUACCUCCU
Molecule: transfer RNA, 72 nt
Filed under: Camelus ferus (Wild Bactrian camel)
Lineage: Eukaryota; Metazoa; Chordata; Mammalia; Artiodactyla; Camelidae
Rfam family: tRNA
About the family: Transfer RNA (tRNA) molecules are approximately 80 nucleotides in length. Their secondary structure includes four short double-helical elements and three loops (D, anti-codon, and T loops). Further hydrogen bonds mediate the characteristic L-shaped molecular structure. tRNAs have two regions of fundamental functional importance: the anti-codon, which is responsible for specific mRNA codon recognition, and the 3' end, to which the tRNAs corresponding amino acid is attached (by aminoacyl-tRNA synthetases). tRNAs cope with the degeneracy of the genetic code in two manners: having more than one tRNA (with a specific anti-codon) for a particular amino acid; and 'wobble' base-pairing, i.e. permitting non-standard base-pairing at the 3rd anti-codon position.
Source: Rfam by way of RNAcentral